UGUGGAAUCAACACCCUAAUUAGUGACUUCAUCUCUGUUAGAUAUGUCUGACUUAAGAAAAUAUUGUGAGGCUAUUUAUCAGCUUGUCAUUACUAAGGGUGGCAAGUGUACCUUUUUUUCAUUCUUUUCUGGUUCUGUGAAAUGCCUUCAGUUCAUUUUUUGAUAGGUACAGCUGACCAUAAGAGAGUUUUAUGCACGUUUUCUUCACAUAGAUCAGAUAAAUUGAUAAGUUUUACCUAUUUGCUUACAUAUAACAGUGGUUAUCGUGGAGGAGAGGUGUGGAUAUCCCAAACUGUUUGAUUUAAGGGAGACCAUUUAAUUUUGGUAGCAGGAAGCAACUUCCAUAAAUGACAACUUUUUUCUCUUCAAAACUCCACUGAAAUACAGACUUGACACCUGUAUGAAGCAUUAUUUUUAGAAAGAGGGACUGGGACACUUCUUCUCCCUUGACUACCAAAAUGACAUAUAAAUAUCAUUUCUUUUACUUUUUCUGUGAAUUUUGUGACUUGUGCCUUGGUGUGUGACUGCGAUGUGCAUUUUUUGUUGACAGAUGUGAAUAAGGUAUAGAGUCCUAAAUAAAAAUGUGUCUGAUCCAAAUAGGAAGCAAUAUGCAGGAUAACUUAAGGAAAAAAAGAAAAAGUGGACUCACUGUAUUCCUGGGGAAUAUGUGGGAACAAACAGAUCAACAUGGAAUAGUAUAGGUACCUUUUUAAUGCUGAAAUGGGCAUGCUAAUUGUGAACUAUGCGGUCAGAAGCUCCUUCUAAAAUAUUCAGUAACUUAUUUACUGGAAUUUAACAAGCUGUGUACUUCAAAGCUUCUUUCACCUCUAAUUAUGUGCAUAAACUCUGUGAAUUGUAUUGCCAACUUGAGAUUUGGCACAGUAGCAGCAGUGCUGAAGCAGCCCCCACUGCUAGGGAAGGUACAAACACGGGAAGGCAACCUGUGAUGGGCCGAGAGACCUCACUUACCAGGAUUUGCUCACGGUUAUGCUUCUGGCAACUGACAUUUCCAUUUUACUCAAAGCUUCUACCUUUGUGUCAUCAGACAAAGCCCCAUGAGUGGUGGCAGAGCAAACCGUAGCCUUCAUUCUAAAGUUUGAAGAGGAAAAGUUAUUUACAUGCCUAAAUCGCAAAAUGUGUUCAAAGGUCCCUCUCUAUUACUCAUUGUUUUAAGCCACUAAGUUUUCCAUAAGCUCUAUAAGCAAAAGGCAGAUAGUCUGGGCAGAAACAUUUAAUUGGUUGUUUUCUUUUCUUUUCUUUUUCUUUUCUUACUGUAUGGUCUGAUUUUUGGACUACCAGAGGUACGUUGAAGAUAGGAUGUUUCUGUCAUUCCUUACCAUGAAUGAUUGCUUAAAGGGACCAUCAGAGACUGCAAGUCAGAUCUCUGUCCCUCCUUAAGAUUUUUAUGUUCUGAAGAGGAAUGACUUUUAAUUGGUUAGGAUUUUAGAGUUUAUUAUGUAAGGAAAACUACUGAUUCUUGUAAUGACUGAUCCUUUACUGUUUUUAUCAGACUUUCAAUUGAGCAUUUCUUAAACUCUUUUGCUUAUUUAGGCAAAUAUUUAAUUAUUUCAUUGCUGCACUGCCAUUUCCUUGCUCCCUAUUUUAGACAUAUUUUCCUGGAUGUGAGUUUGAAUUUAGUGACAAUCAGUCUGAUUUCCAGAACUGUAUUAUCAGUAAAAGUACUUUGUAGCAAGAUGUGUGAAUGGAGAUGUUAAGAGAAAGCACAAGCAAUGCCUUUAUUCAUUCAGAGGUGAAGCACUGAGAAGUCAAGGUUAUUCAAUGAAUAAAUGCUGCUUGAAAUAUCUUUAUUUUCCAAACUACAAGAGCAAUUCAAUCAAUAAGGAUAGCAUAUGAAAAAACAAACAAAAAAGUCAGUUGAUUUCCUUAAAAAAUAUUUGGAAUUUAAAAAAAAGGGGGGGUGGGGGUGGGAAAGCCAAUGUUUGACAUGGUGAUGAGGGUAGAUCGAAGGACUUGUCUCAGAGGCUGCUUACGCUGCUAUUGCACAGCAAAACUGUGUAGGGCAUUUAAUCUCUCUCAGUUGUCCUGCUUGUAAGUAACAAGCUGAUAACAUCCACUUGAUUUUAGCGUUGUGCAAUAUUCAGAUGUUUCACAAUAUAACAGAAAGUGUGUCAGUGUACUUAAAAGUUGCCUGUUAAACUUCAUGUUUUUUAGAUAAAAGAAAAUUUCGGCUACACAUCUUGAAAGAGAUCAUUCCUUAAGGUGGUGGUGGCAGCUUUAAGCUUUUCUGGGAUAUAUUUUCUCUUUGGUUGUUUGCUGCUUAAUGGGCUAAUUUUUGGUAUCAUCUCCGGAAUAUGUGUGUCUCCUAUGACUGAUAGGAAGGAUGGUUACUGCAAAUAAAGUCUCUUUUAGGAAAUCUUGUGAUCAGCAGAAUUCUGACAUCAUCACAAAAACACAGCAUGGCAUAUAUUUCUCAUUUCAGCUAAUAAACCUAACAUUUUUGUCUGGCCAACAUCUUACGCCUGUCUGCUAAAUGAUAUUACUGGAAGAUUCCUUACUAUUAAAGCAAUUGAGAUUGAGUCAAAUAAUAUGUAAAUGACAGAGCUUUUCCCCAUAAAUAACCAAGUUGAUGUUUCCCAGUGCAGUAAAACACUUCUUAUUGGUACUGACAAUACCACAGUCUGGAAGAGGUUAUCUAGAAAAGAUAAACCAAGAAAAAUUAGAUGUAGCAUAUUUUCUAUUGGCUGUCAACAUAAAUGUCUUCAGAUCAGGACUGUGCUCCUGAAGUUAUUCUCCUGAUUAUCUCCACUUACUGUGUUAUUUUUAAUACAGUGUUAAUAUUGUCUCAUGGGCAGGAACUGGCUUUCUUUUGAAGAGCACUGAGCUGAGAUAUAUUGUCUGGGUACUCACACCAGUACUCCAUUCUCAAACAGAUAUUAGGUUCAUGGAACCAUAUGAAAUGAUCCUGAAGUGAGGCUAGCAGGACUUCAAUACUAAUAGUAAAGAGCCCAGUCAUCUGUUUGUUACACUACUUGUUAUUCCUAAACAUAACGUCAAUGAGCCUACAGAAUCCUGCAUCAGUUGGUAACCACCAACUCUGUUCAGUUCACAGGAAGGAAGGAAAGUGCACAGAGAUCCCUGUGUGGAUGGUUGUGGUUUGCUGUUCAUUUCCCAGAUCUAUAGGAAAUGGUCAUGAUCUCCUUAUGAGAAAGGCUUGAGCAGAGGUAGAUACUGUCAAGAUGGAAUUAUUUAGAAAGAAACAAUACUUUCUCCUUGGUUUGCACUCGAGCAACAAGGACAGUGAAGUGCCCGGAAUAUUUUGCACUGCAUUUCUAGCAUAACCUAAAUUUUUCUUCUGCAACAUGGGCAUAUUAGCCACUCACAUUGCAAUUAUCUGGGACUACAGGUACAGUAGUUUACUUGCUGUAGAUUUUCUCAAAUUCUGAAAAUAGAGAAAGAGAAUAUUUCUUGAAAGAAUGAGACAAGACUCUGAUCGCUGUGAAUCUCCUCUCAGUAAUUUUGAUGACUGCACAUUUUGUACUAUGUGAAAGGAUAUCAGCAGGGAAAUAGUGAAAGUUGUACAAAACCUACACAAAGUUAAAAGUUAUUUCUACAGAAAAUAUUGGAAGUACUAUCGAUGACUACUCUCAAAAUAGUAGUAUGGCUGGGAUUUUUUCUCUUGAGUAUUCUAUGCCAUGCCCUAGGCUUGCCUGUAGCUUUAGGUUCUUGCAGUGGAGCCCGCAAAGGUUUUCUGUCAUUGAACAAUGGUCAGAGUCUAUGACAUGAGAAAUAUUAAGAAAACAAACAAACAAACAAACAAAACAAAACCACAACAACAAAAAACACAUCUGCCUGAAACUUCCAGCAUUUAGGGUAGGAAAAGCAACUAAUCCAAGACAGAAUCAAAAUGGUUUAUAAGAACAUCCAAAUUAGGAAUGCAGAACUUUACUUUCAAGAACAACAGCAAAGUGACAAAGAUGUCCUUUACCUGCAUCUUUGCUAGUGUUAAGCACCAGCCCACAGCUGAAGUGCAGGCCAUAUCAUUGAUAUAUCCUUGUCAGAUGCCAUCGAAGAUAUUGGAUCCUACAGAAAAAAAUGAGAAACUAUUAUACAAUAACUGUAUUAUUAUACAGUACAAAAGGACGUGUUAGGGUUGCCAGUAAGGUAAAGAUUAAAACAGAGAGUAAACCAUGAACAUAACCAUUCACAUGUUUUCUGCCUUUAUUUAAACACAGUGUGGUUUAAGUUUUUAAGGGGCAUCUUUCAGAUUCAUCUUCUAAUGGUGAAAAUGGCUAAUAUGUGUAUAGUCUAAUCAUAUUACUAUUUCAAGUUACUUUAAUUGCAGCACUUCUAAAAGUUCAGGAAGCAGAAUUUCAUUCCAUCUGGUGAUCACUUAUUUACUUACAUUAGUCAUACAGACAGAAAACACUGAGUUAAAAAAAAAAAAAAAGGG
Coturnix japonica (Japanese quail) is the source of this 4411-nucleotide non-coding RNA. NCBI's taxonomy places the organism in Eukaryota, Metazoa, Chordata, Aves, Galliformes, Phasianidae. The record is from RefSeq and is a predicted model, not a curated record.